CUGUUGUGUGUGCUGGGGGAAAUACUGCUGGACUGUCUGGUGAAAUGAACUUGAAGAGCUCUCAAGCCCAUGGUCUGGUGUGCGUUUCAGAAGCUAUGGCUAUCCCGUGCUAGGCAACAACUGAUGUUUGGUUGGUUGGAUUUGAUCUUAUCCAAUGAAUGGCUGAGAAGUCUGCCGCCAAGAAGAAAGGACCUUUGGUCCAAUGACGACGCUUUUGAAGGUCUCAAGCGAGAGCACUAAGGACUGUCAGAAGCCUCGCUACAACCUGUGUCAUCCAUGGAAGUCCAGAAAUGACCUUGGGAGCGAUAUCAGACUCUAGUGGAUGAACUGCAAAAAACUCUCAGGAGGCAAGCCAGUUGCAGACGACAACGAUGACGAUUUACGACGAUUAACGAAGUCCUUGGAGUCCAUUUUGUUGUGAUGACUGAAAACAUUGGUGGCAACCAGAAUGAGCGUGGGGAUGAUCUGCUCCCAGACACACCCAAAGCUCUUUGGGUGGUCAAGCAUAUUGUGGUGCAUAGUAUAGUACUGGUGUUGCAGUACCAGGUGACUUGGUUGAUAGCAGGAUGCUGGAAUGAGGUGACAAGGAUCUUCAGCAUGUAGUUACCAUUGUUGUUGGUGACAUCAUUCCAAAUCGCUCCUGUCGGUGUGCAUGGUGAAGUUCAUGCUGCCAUGGACAAUGGUAAUGUGGAAUAGCUUAUCAUGCAGCUGAGCAGAGAAUGGAUUCUGGGUUUGGUCAUUGGGUCACAAAGAUGAACAGUUAGCUGAAGGAUUGCCAUGAGCAAGCUUUUGGUUGGCUACAUAGCGAAAAAAGUUUUUAAAGGGCAGAGUCGCUAACCCUGCCAAAAACCUCCUCACUUUCUCAUUCUGCUUGGAAUCGGCAAUGGCUGAGGUCUUUAGAUGCGUGGCAGAACAUUUUCAGGAAGAGUCAAAUUGCCCUAACUGCACAAUCUGAAUAUAUUCCACUUCCAGUGCCAAAUAUAUAUGUAAGUCAUUUUUUAAACUUACAACUCUUCCCUCUUUAAUCGGCAAUCACUCACCGAUGAAUAAGCGCCGUUAAACAGAAAUGUGAAAGUAAAUUUAUAAAGUGAAAUAAGUGACUACUACUGAGCAACGUGAGGGAAAGAUCAAGAGAGCAGGAAGAGUUUAUCCCUUUUCCCCUCAUCUUCUGCCCUUUUAUUCUCCGAGGCUUAGACCAGUGAUCUGUAUCUCGAUUGGGCCUGCAUAGUUUGAAAUGAUCCCUCCCAGGGGUUCCUCAAAAUGCGUUUGGGCAAGCUUAAAAGCGAGCUGAUAGUAUUCAAAGUGCUAUGACAAGCGACUGACGCAAACAGUUGCUGAGCUUUAUCUUAACAUCGGCACCUGGGAACGCAACUUUAGCGCAUUGCCGUCAUUUCACGUCCCUGAAAAAGUAGUAGUAGUGUUUGGAAUGACUUUCAAUGGUAAGUCGUUUGGUGAUUUACUCAAACUGUAACGGCAACACAUGGAGUAUUGUACUGGGGUCAUCUGAAAACUGUGACUUGUGUUAAAAACCCCCUGAGAGCACGAUGAAUCAGGCCAGUCUUAAUUGCUAACUCUUGAGAGUCACUUAGAUGAGAAGAUGAUUAAGUGUGGCAAUGUGGUUGAUCUAAUUUCAAACAGAUUGUCCUGGUUAAGGUACACAAGAAUAUGCAAUAGGAGAAGUUUUUCUAUUGCGAAAUCGGCAAAAUGGCAGAAUCCCAAAAUGGACGAUAUGCGACUGAAAGUGCCUCAGGUGAGCAUGUGUAUUGCUUUUUCCCCUUCAUCUUAUCAAUACCUCGCAUCACUGCUCAGAAGUUUCAAAGACAAAGCAUUUUGUUGCUUCUUUGACUGCUGAUAAGAUAUUUGUCAGAAAUCAGGAUCAGGAUCUUCAUUCAUUAGUAACACACACGAGGAAUUCACAGUUCUCCAUGCCUCUUUUGUCCCUCGUUUAUCACAAUUAAUUUGUUGCAGACCAGACCUUUCAUUCAUUCAUUUUCUACCACUUAUCCUCACGAGGGUUGCAGGGGUGCUGGAGCCUAUCCCAGCUUUAGUCAAGA
Molecule: non-coding RNA, 2054 nt
Organism: Doryrhamphus excisus (bluestripe pipefish)
Lineage: Eukaryota; Metazoa; Chordata; Actinopteri; Syngnathiformes; Syngnathidae
Source: RefSeq, a predicted model, not a curated record